AACACCACUAAGGUAAUGUAAUUAGUUUAGAUAGAAUGUAGACAUGAAACAAGGCUAAGGUUACCAAGUAAGAUAAGGAAUGGCCAUUCUAUGUGGCGGAGCCACAGGACCCAUUUUUAAAAGGAAAAAAAUCAUUCAAACUAAAUCCCUGUUAGUGUCUAGAAGGAAUUUUUAUGGGAAACUAGAAAUUCAUUCAAGAUAAACUAAUUCUGAAUCCAGAGUAAACUAUAGUAUCAGGUCAUGCUCUUAAGGUGCCAGG
RNAcentral lists this long non-coding RNA (259 nucleotides) under Carica papaya (papaya). RNAcentral's name for it is "long non-coding RNA (CPAP_LNC005858)". Lineage: Eukaryota; Viridiplantae; Streptophyta; Magnoliopsida; Brassicales; Caricaceae. The record is from RNAcentral.